GACGAACGCUGGCGGCGUGCUUAACACAUGCAAGUCGAACGGAAAGGCCCUGCUUUUGUGGGGUUCUCGAGUGGCGAACGGGUGAGUAACACGUGAGUAACCUGCCCUUGACUUUGGGAUAACUUCUGGAAACUGGGGCUAAUACCGGAUAGGAUCUCCUGCUGCAUGUUGGGGGUUGGAAAGUUUCGGCGGUUGUGUAUCGACUCGCUGCUUAUCAGCUUGUUAGUGGGGUAGUGGCUUUCCAAGGCUUUGACGGGUAGCCGGCCUGAGAGGGGGACCGGCGACCUGGGGACUGAGAUACGGAGCAGACUCGAACGGGAGGCAGCAGUGGGGAAUAUUGCACAAUGAGCGGAAGCCUGAUGCAGCAACGCCGCGUGCGGGAUGACGGCCUUCGGGUUGUAAACAGAUUUGGACUGUGACAAAGCGUGAGUGACGGUAAUGGGUCAAGAAGCACCGGCUAACUACGUG
This 468-nucleotide ribosomal RNA is filed under the name uncultured bacterium. RNAcentral describes it as "partial 16S ribosomal RNA". It matches the Rfam family "Bacterial small subunit ribosomal RNA", at positions 28 to 507 of the family's 1533-position model. The record is from RNAcentral.